UCUCGUUCGCCCACGGGUCGCAGGCCGCACCCGGUGCCGGACCUGUCUUCAAGCCCGUCUUCCCGGGUACCCUGCGUGUGCCUCCGUGUAUGGAGGCUGCCUCACUAAACUCUGAGACUAUGUCUUGGUGGUUAGCCCCCAGACUGAAAACAGCGAAAAGAGAAGGGGGAAAGGCCUGCCAUGUGGGGUCAUGGACGAUAAGGAGCUUGGCAGUGAGAAGCAACAAAGCAUGGAAAGGGGAAAUGCUGCACGCCACUCUGGCAUCUGUGUUCUGUACAGUGAUGGGACUGGGUAGGUAGUGAUUUUCAAAUUUCUUUUUACCUUGACCCACAGUGCUCCAGUACACAUGUGAAUGUAAGUUCCAUGAGAGCAGAGACUGUAUCUUGUUUAUCUGCAUCUCCAGCUCCAAGCACAAGGAAUGCUCACACAUGACCUGUGGUCCAAAAUCAUACCAGGAAGGUAUGAGCUCCAUUUGAUCCAUAAGGAAACAGAGGCUCAAAAAGCUUAAGUCAUCUGCCCAAGGUCACAGAGCUAGAAGUGGAGGAGCUGGGAUUCAAACCCGAGUCCUGCUUCAGCUUCCGCGAUGAAGAGUCAGUUAAAGAAUAAAUAGAAAGAAAGGAUAUGACACGUUUGUAAGUACUCUCUAGUUUUUCAUCUUUAAAAAAUGUAGGUGUAAAUUUGUAAUUUUUUGGUUUUGCAUGGUAGAGGACUUCCCUUAAGCAGUAGAUGAAUGAGGAAGGAAAAAUUCAGAUUAAUUCAAAACAGGCAAAACAAUCCUGAUAAACCAUUUUUUUAGUAAAAUACGGUAGUAAAAUUGACAACAAAACCCCCCAAACCACCACCAGUGCUGCUGAGAUUGUUGUAAAACUGGUUUCUGCCUCUUGGCAAGCGGCCUGUAUUUUUAGUUCACACUAUGUGUUAGUUUUUAAUUAUUGUGUGAUGAGCUGAUAAAUGCCACCCUCCUGUACUAGACUGGAAGCGACAGGAGGGCAGGGUCUGUCUAUCUUGCUCAUCUUAUGCUCCUGGAGCUCAAUGCCUAGCGCCAGUAGAUACUCAAUUUGUAACUGUUGCAUAAAUGGAUAUUGUUGUUGCCAUGAUUAACUUUUUGGAAGAGAAUCAGGCAAUAUAUAGUAAGAGCUAUAAGAUAAAAUAUUAUUUAACUAGUAAUCUACUCCUGUGAGGAAAAAAUAUUCAACAAAAGCCAAAAAAAGAGAAGAAAGAAAGAAAAGACAUGAAGA
Aethalodelphis obliquidens (Pacific white-sided dolphin) is the source of this 1238-nucleotide long non-coding RNA. RefSeq lists it as uncharacterized. The transcript has 3 exons. NCBI's taxonomy places the organism in Eukaryota, Metazoa, Chordata, Mammalia, Artiodactyla, Delphinidae. The record is from RefSeq and is a predicted model, not a curated record.